Molecule: ribosomal RNA, 234 nt
Filed under: uncultured bacterium
Lineage: Bacteria
Description: partial 16S ribosomal RNA
Rfam family: Bacterial small subunit ribosomal RNA
Source: RNAcentral
UAAAGCCUACGGGGGGCAGCAGUGAGGAAUAUUGGUCAAUGGGCGAGAGCCUGAACCAGCCACGUCGCGUGAAGGAUGACGGCCCUACGGGUUGUAAACUUCUUUUGUCAGGGAGCAAUUGAGUCCACGUGUGGUCUUAGCGAGAGUACCUGAAGAAAAAGCAUCGGCUAACUCCGUGCCAGCAGCCGCGGUAAUACGGAGGAUGCGAGAGUUAUCCGGCUUUAUUGGGUUUAA